RNAcentral lists this ribosomal RNA (492 nucleotides) under uncultured bacterium. Its description in RNAcentral is "partial 16S ribosomal RNA". It matches the Rfam family "Bacterial small subunit ribosomal RNA", at positions 29 to 507 of the family's 1533-position model. The record is from RNAcentral.
AUUGAACGCUGGCGGCAUGCUUUACACAUGCAAGUCGAGCGGUAACAGGCCUUCGGGUGCUGACGAGUGGCGAACGGGUGAGUAAUGCAUCGGAACGUACCCAGAGGUGGGGGAUAACGCAGCGAAAGCUGUGCUAAUACCGCAUGUGAUCUGAGGAUGAAAGCGGGGGACCGAGCAGCAAUGUUUGGCCUCGCGCCUUUGGAGCGGCCGAUGUCGGAUUAGCCAGUUGGUGGGGUAAAGGCCUACCAAGGCGACGAUCCGUAGCUGGUCUGAGAGGACGACCAGCCACACUGGGACUGAGACACGGCCCAGACUCCUACGGGAGGCAGCAGUGGGGAAUUUUGGACAAUGGGCGCAAGCCUGAUCCAGCAAUGCCGCGUGCGGGAAGAAGGCCUUCGGGUUGUAAACCGCUUUUGGCAGGAACGAAACGGUGUCCGCUAAUACCGGGCGCUAAUGACGGUACCUGCAGAAUAAGCACCGGCUAACUACGUG